AUUGAACGCUGGCGGCAGGCCUAACACAUGCAAGUCGAGCGGAUGAAGGGAGCUUGCUCCUGGAUUCAGCGGCGGACGGGUGAGUAAUGCCUAGGAAUCUGCCUGGUAGUGGGGGAUAACGUCCGGAAACGGGCGCUAAUACCGCAUACGUCCUGAGGGAGAAAGUGGGGGAUCUUCGGACCUCACGCUAUCAGAUGAGCCUAGGUCGGAUUAGCUAGUUGGUGGGGUAAAGGCCUACCAAGGCGACGAUCCGUAACUGGUCUGAGAGGAUGAUCAGUCACACUGAAACUGAGACACGGUCCAGACUCCUACGGGAGGCAGCGGUGGGGAAUAUUGGACAAUGGCGAAAGCCUGAUCCAGCCAUGCCGCGUGUGUGAAGAAGGUCUUCGGAUUGUAAAGCACUUUAAGUUGGGAGGAAGGGCAGUAAGUUAAUACCUUGCUGUUUUGACGUUACCAACAGAAUAAGCACCGGCUAACUUCGUG
RNAcentral lists this ribosomal RNA (483 nucleotides) under uncultured bacterium. RNAcentral's name for it is "partial 16S ribosomal RNA". It matches the Rfam family "Bacterial small subunit ribosomal RNA", at positions 30 to 507 of the family's 1533-position model. The record is from RNAcentral.